UGGGGGAUAUUGCACAAUGGGCGAAAGCCUGAUGCAGCGACGCCGCGUGGGGGAUGAAGGCUUUCGGGUUGUAAACCUCUUUCGCUAUCGAACAAGGCCCGCUUAGGGUGGGUUGAGGGUAGGUGGAGAAGAAGCGCCGGCUAACUACGUGCCAGCAGCCGCGGUAAUACGUAGGGCGCGAGCGUUGUCCGGAAUUAUUGGGCGCAAAGGGCUUGUAGGCGGCUUGUUGCGCCUGCUGUGAAAACGCGGGGCUUAACUUCGCGCGUGCAGUGGGUACGGGCAGGCUUGAGUGUGGUAGGGGUGACUGGAAUUCCAGGUGUAGCGGUGGAAUGCGCAGAUAUCUGGAGGAACACCGAUGGCGAAGGCAGGUCACUGGGCCAUUACUGACGCUGAGGAGCGAAAGCAUGGGUAGCGAACAGG
RNAcentral lists this ribosomal RNA (420 nucleotides) under bacterium. RNAcentral's name for it is "partial 16S ribosomal RNA". It matches the Rfam family "Bacterial small subunit ribosomal RNA", at positions 355 to 776 of the family's 1533-position model. The record is from RNAcentral.